CCCAUGAGUACAGCGGCGACCGGGUGAGUAACACGUGACUAACCUACCCUUGAGUGGGGAAUAACUCCGGGAAACCGGAGCUAAUACCGCAUAACACCGCAAGGUCAAAGGAGCAAUUCGCUUAAGGAGGGGGUCGCGGUUGAUUAGCUAGUUGGUGGGGUAAUGGCCCACCAAGGCGAUGAUCAAUAGCCGGCCUGAGAGGGCGCACGGCCACACUGGAACUGAAACACGGUCCAG
Molecule: ribosomal RNA, 237 nt
Filed under: uncultured bacterium
Lineage: Bacteria
Description: partial 16S ribosomal RNA
Rfam family: Bacterial small subunit ribosomal RNA
Source: RNAcentral